Molecule: ribosomal RNA, 396 nt
Filed under: uncultured bacterium
Lineage: Bacteria
Description: partial 16S ribosomal RNA
Rfam family: Bacterial small subunit ribosomal RNA
Source: RNAcentral
AUACGUAGGGGGCAAGCGUUAUCCGGAUUUACUGGGUGUAAAGGGAGCGCAGACGGCUAUGUAAGUCUGAAGUGAAAGCCCGCGGCUCAACCGCGGGACUGCUUUGGAAACUAUGUAGCUUGAGUGUCGGAGAGGUAAGCGGAAUUCCAAGUGUAGCGGUGAAAUGCGUAGAUAUUUGGAAGAACACCGGUGGCGAAGGCGGCUUACUGGACGAUAACUGACGUUGAGGCUCGAAGGCGUGGGGAGCAAACAGGAUUAGAUGCCCUGGUAGUCCACGCGGUAAACGAUGAAUACUAGGUGUCGGUGCCCAAAGGGUAUCGGUGCCGUCGCAAACGCAGUAAGUAUUCCACCUGGGGAGUACGUUCGCAAGAAUGAAACUCAAAUGAAUUGACGGGG